Non-coding RNA from Callithrix jacchus (white-tufted-ear marmoset), 6944 nucleotides. NCBI's taxonomy places the organism in Eukaryota, Metazoa, Chordata, Mammalia, Primates, Cebidae. The record is from RefSeq and is a predicted model, not a curated record.
AGCAAACGAAUCAGGUACAGGUGGCGUCCGCGGGCAGUUUGAAUUAGAUUCUGGGCUCCACUCCGUGGAGGCAGCACCAGAACUGGACUCUCCGAGAGGUUGUUUUCCCUUCCCCGAUCGUACGUUUCUUUAUAAACAUUGGAGUAAUAAAGAAGGGAGAACAAAAUGAGCUGGGCUUUGGAAGAAUGCAAAGAAGGCCUUCCUAUAAGAGCUCUUCAGAAAACUCAAGAGCUUGAAGGACAACUUGACAAACUGAAGAAGGAAAAGCAGCAAAGGCAGUUCCACCUUGACAGUCUCGAGGCUGCCUUGCAGAAGGAAAAACAGAAGGCACCCCUGAAGCUCUGGUAUUUGUAGCUGUUCACUCAUUAUUAUCACAGAAGCACUGGUAUUUAAAACUGUUCACUCAUUUUUGGAUUAUUUCAUCUUUACAUUUAGAGAAAAAUGAUUUUGCUAUCUUCAGGAGGCAAUCCCCGCCCCCACCACCCUACCCCAUUCCCCUUCCCCUUUUUUGAGUCUUUUUUAUUUUAAUGGUUUUCAUUUGCUCCAUUCCUGUUCUCAUUUCUGCUUACCUGCUAAUAUCUAGGGCUACUGAGUCCCAGUUCAACUUCCCUGUGGAACCAUGACUUGGAGACUGCUUUUGCACUGCAUAGCAACAAGGCAAAAGGUUUCUGCUGGUUAAAUGGAUGUGGCUUUCUGAGACUCCGCUUUUUACCUUGGUAUUCCCCAACCUUUUCAGGGCUAGUAAAUAAAAACUAAAUAGUACUUUUUAAAAUUUACCUCUGUAUUAGCUAACUAAAUAGUGAUAGUCAUUGCUUUUAAAAGCUUUUUGCUUGAUGGAGAAUUUUCUGGUUUCUAAGAAUAACUAAUUUUAGCAGCCAAACUGGAGAAUGAAUUGUUAAGGGAGAUUUAUAGGAUUUAUUUUCUGUUUUUUAAUUUUCGAAAGGAUAGUAAAGCCUCACUUUCUAGGAUGGGUAUGUAUGACCAGAGAGGAUAUCAUCACACAUGACUUCAUAGAAGUUUCCUAUCUAUUGGCUUCAAAGUGUGUUCAUCCAAAAUUUCUGUGUUCAUAAAGUAUUGACAGAUGGCUACUGCAGCUGCACCUCAGGAAAUGAGCAGAGGGUUAGACUCAGAUCUACCAAUAAUACUUGGUAAAUUCAUCAGACGAGGGAGUUACUGUCUUCUGAACAAUUCUCAUUAGGUUGAAAAUGAAAAAACUGAGGGUACAAAUCUGAAAAGGGAGAAUCAAAGAUUGAUAGAAAUAAGCGAAAGUCUGCAGAAAGCUAAGUAGAUUUCUCAUGAACUUCAAGUCAAGGGGAUACAGGUGAGUUUCCUGGAAGGACAACUGAAUUCAGGCAAAAAAACAAGUAGAAAAACUGGACCAGGAACUUAAAAGGUACUAUUUUGGAAUGAUAUUUAUAGGGAUGAUGUUUGUAUGUAUUUAUCAGAUGUGUUUCUCUUUUCCUUUAACAACAUAAUUAUUAUACAUUGCAACUUUUUUUUCGCAGUGGAGUAAGUAAUGAUUUGGUCUAUAUCAGUAAUUUGAAUAAGUGAAAGAUUAAAAACAAACAAUGAUUUAGUUUUUUCAUUGAAUAGCUCAGUAUGAUAUAAAUUUAUCAAAUGGUUACUCUGUUACUCAUGUACUCAUUCAGUAUAUGUUUAUUUUUAUUUAUUUAUUUUUGAGAUGGAGUUCCGCUCUUGUUUCCCAGGCUGGAGUGCAAUGGCGCGAUCUCGCCUCACCGCAACCUCCGCCUCCCGGGUUCAGGCAAUUCUCCUGCCUCAGCCUCCUGAGUAGCUGGGAUUACAGGCACACGCCACCAUGCCAGCUAAUUUUUAGUAUUUUUAGUAGAGACGGGGUUUCACCAUGUUGACCAGGAUGGUCUCGAUCUCUUGACCUUGUGAUCCACCCGCCUCGGCCUCCCAAAGUGCUGGGAUUACAGGCUUGAGCCACCGCGCCUGGCCAUUCAGUAUGUUUACUAAGCUGUUCCAUGAUUCAGACACUGUUGGUCACUGGGUAGUACAAUAAUAAAUAGUAUAUCAUACUAUCAAAUAAUAGUAUUAUUAUAAUACUAUCAUACGGUCAAAUAGUAUCAAAUAAUGCUAUUGUUUGAUAGUACUGUUAUUUGACGGUAUGAUGAUAGUACUACUUAAAAUAAAACUAUCAACAGUUGUUACUGAAAAGACGGAAAUCAGUUGAAGUGUACUGAUGGCUCAUGUGAAAAAGCUGUUGUAGAGAAUGAGAGGAAGAACUAGGGAAUUAUAAAAGGAUGGAAUAGCACAGAGGGCCCAGCUGAGAUUGGAGACAGCAUUUAAGCAGGCCCAAUCUGCAAGGCUGUGUGAUGAUUUAAAAAAAAGUUUCCUUUUCGCUGUGCGUGGUGGCUCAUACCUCUAAUUCCCAGCACUUUAGGAGGCUGAGGUGGUGGAUUACCUGAGGUCAGGAGUUCGAGACCAGCCAGCAUGGCCAAUGUGGUGAAACCCCCUCUCUGCUUAAUAUACAAAAAUUAGCCGGCUAUAGUGGUGGGUACCUCUAAUCCCAGCUACUCGGGAGGCUGAGGCAGGAGAAUUGUUUGAACCAGGAGGUGGAGGCUGCAGUGAGCUGAGAUCGCACCAUAUCCUCUUAGCACAUUUGGUUUUACAUUAUUCUUAUUAUCUAAUAGACUACAAAAACUACUGAAUAUGGUUUUAAAGUUUUCACUGCUAGCCUUCAAAUGCAUUGCAGAAACUUACUUUUUCUAACAAUUGCCACUGAUUAGGUUUCAGAAGUUCUCCAGCAUGUGAGGUUGAAUCAUUUGGAAUGUUUGUUAAAACUGUGGAUAUUUUCAAUCUCAUAUAGUUCAACCUGGUAGAAAAUGCUUUUAGCUUUUUAGUGCUUUUUUGGUGGUGGUGUUUAUGGUUUUUUUUUUUAGGGGGAAGGGGAAAAUAUGGUUUAUAAAAAUAAUAGCAAGGUAUACUUUUAAGUAAUAAAUAACUGUUUAAAAUGUAAGGAUAGGGAAAAGGGAAUAAGAUAGGAAUUUAAAGUAGAAAGGAAACACUGGUUUUGCAAGAUUCUUCAAAAUUCAUCUCUAGAAUCACCAACUUUGUGAUACUUUGCUAGUCUGUAGACCUGUAAUGUUCAAUAUGGUGGCCAUUGGCUACAUGUGGCAAUUAUUAUGUACUUGAAAUGUGGCUGGUGCAAAUUGAGAUGAGCUGUAAGUAUACAAUGCAUGCCAAAUUUUUUAGUAUGAAAAAUUGUGAAAUAUUUUCUUAGUAACUUUCCUAUUGAUUACAAGUUGAAAUAAUAGUGUCUUGACAAUAGCAAGUUAAAUAAAAUAUUAAUUUUACUUAUUUUUGUUUUUUCAAUACAAUGGAACAUGUCCAUUAGACAUUGCUGUUUCCUACUGUAAGCUCAGAUUUAGUGAUCUGAUUUGCUGAGAAGUCAUUUUUAGCUCAUAAGUUGCUCUUCCUUCUCAGGUUGAAUUUGGAGCUAAAUGGCGCUAAGGGCACUUUCUUUCAUUUCUUUUUUUUUUUGGGACAAAGUCUUGCUCUAUUGCCCAGGGUGGAGUGCAGUGGCCUAAUCUUCGCUUACUGCAACUCUGCUUCCUGAGUUCAAGCAAUUCUCUUGCCUCAGCCUCCCAAAUAACGGGGACUACAGGUGCACGCCACCAUGCCUGACUAAUUUUUGCAUUUUUAAUAGAGAGGGAUUUUUGCCCCUUUGGCCAGGCUGAUUUUGAACUCCUAACCUCAGGUGAUCUGCCUGCCUCGGCCUCCCGAAGUGUUGAGAUUACAGGUGUGAGCCACUGGGCUUGGCAUUACUUUCGUUACUUCCUGUUUUAAGUAAUAGGCCAUGGCUAAGAGACUGGUAUACACUAUUAGCCAUUCUAAAAGAGUGUUCAUUUUAUUUUUUCUGUUAUGUUCAAGUCAGAGACAUUAGAGAUUUGGAAGAACUGAGCCCUCUUUUAAUGCCAUGUUUUGGUUUUAAAAGGGGUUCAGAACUAACUUGACUGAUAGUUCUGAAUACCUUCACACAGUGUGUACAUAGAUACAAUACAUAACUUAUGUUUCCCAUUUCUUGUAACGAUUUCCAGCCAUAUCUUUUCUAAAUGCAUUAUAUUGACUUAAUUUUUAUAUCUGUUUUAAAAAUGUCAUAUAAUACAUGAUCUGUAUAUCGAGUCUAUGUUUCUGAAAUGACUAAGUAUCCUAAGUAAUGUCACUGCUCUCAUGAUUUGAGCCCAUGCUUCAAUGACACUACUUUCUUCCCAUGUUUCUGACGUUCUGGGUUCUUCUAUAUCCCUCUCUUUGGCUUAGAAUAUGCAAUCUGCUUUGAAUAUAUUCCAGGCCUCCAACUCUUCUUUGCUGUCUGUUUACUAUUAGUCUGUUCUGACACUGCUAUAAAGAAGUGCCUGAUACUGGGUAAAUUAUAAAGGAAAGAGGUUUCAUUGACUCACAGUUCUGCGGGGUUUUCCUUUUCUGCUCGGGAAACUUACAGUCAUAGUGGAAGGGGAAGCAAACAUGUCCUUCUUCACAUGCGGGCAGGAAGGAGAAGAAUGAGAACCAAGCAUAGAAGGAAGCCCCUUAUAAAACCAUCAUAUCCCAUGACAACUCACUAUCAUGAGAAUAGCAUGAGGAAACUGCACCCAUCAUUCAAUUACCUCUCACCAGGUCCGCAGCACCACACGUGUGGAUUAUGGGAACUAGAAUUCAAGAUGAGAUUUGGGUGGGACACAGCCCAACCAUAUCAUUAUCAUAGUGGUUAUUACACACCUUCCUUGUAGCCUUUAUAAUGUUGUAUUUAUUGGUUUAUAUUUCUGUUUCUUUUACUAGACUGAGUUCCUUUGAAGACACGGGACUCUGUUUAUGUCUGGCACAUAAAAGUUAGAUUUUAUUAAAUGCCUGUUGAAUAAAUGAAAUGGUUAAGAAUUCUUAGUGGAUGGGUUUCUUUGUAACUUUAUUACUUUCUGGGAAUGUGUGGCACGGGUAUUCUGUAGCCUUUGCUCUAACUGAUUUGUCUGCCUCUUGGGUCCUUUUUGAACAGGUGUAAAUCUGAGCUUGAAAAAAGCCAACAAGUGGCACAGUCUGCAGAUGUCUCUCUGAAUCCACGCAAUAGACCACACAAAAUUUUUACAACUCUAACACCAAGUCAAUUUUUUUUUUUUUUUUGAGACGGAGUUUCGCUCUUGUUACCCAGGCUGGAGUGCAAUGGCGUGAUCUCGGCUCAUGGGUUCAGGCAAUUCUCCUGCCUCAGCCUCCUGAGUAGCUGGGACUACAGGCACGCGCCACCAUGCCCAGCUAAUUUUUUGUAUUUUUAGUAGAGACGGGGUUUCACCAUGUUGACUAGGAUGGUCUCGAUCUGCCGACCUCGUGAUCCACCCACCUCGGCCUCCCAAAGUGCUAGGAUUACAGGUUUGAGCCACCGCACCAAGUCAAUAUUAUAGUGGUUUCAAGUAUGAAGAUCUGAAAGAAAAAUAUAAAGAGGUUAACGAAAAAGAUUAGAGGCAGAGGUUAAAGCCUUGCAGGCUAAAUGUACUGCAUUGGAACAAAAACUGAAAAAAGUGACAGAAAAUUUGAGUUGUCAGUGACAAAAUGCAGAAAGUGCCAGAUGUUCGUUCUCUGGAACAGAAAAUUAAGGAGAAAGAAAAGGAGUUUCAAGAGGAGCUCUCCCGUCAGCAGCGUUCUUUCCAAACACUGGACCAGGAGUCCAUCCAGAUGAAGGCCAAACUCACCCAGGAGUUGCAGCAAGCCAAGAAUAUGCACAACGUCCUGCAGGCUGAACUGGAAAAAGUCACAUCCGUAAAGCAACAGCUAGAAAAAAAACGUGGACGAGUUUAAGCAGAAGUUGUGCAGAGCUGAACAGGCAUUCCAGGCAAGUGAGAUCCAGGAGAACGAGCUGAGGAGAAACAUGGAGGAGUAUUACAGAAUGUUCUAUAUAUAACCCAUGACAGAGGAAAUGAAGAAGGAAAAUAGCCUCCUUAAGAGUCAAUCAGAGCAAAUGGCCAGAGAAGUCUGCCACCUGGAGGCAGAACUCAAGAAAGUCAAACAGUGUUUAAAUCAGAGCCAGAAUUUUGCAGAAGAAAUGAAAGAUGGACAAUCUAAAAAUCUGUAAAUCAGUUGAAUGAACAUGCCCAGGGGAAAAUAAAGUUGUUGAUGAAAUCCUGUAAAUAGCUGGAAGAGGAAAUGGAGACACUGCAGAAAGAACUGUCUCAACUUGAAGCUGCACAGGGGAGGCAGAAAACAGAUGCAGCUGUUCCAGGUCCAUCUCCAAUUCCUUCUGCUACUGAAAAGAGGUUAGCAUCUGACCAAAACAAAGCUUCAGGCAAGAGGCAAAGGUCCAGUGGGAUAUGGGAAAAUGGUAGAGGACCAACACCUUCUACUCCAGAGACAUUUUCUAAAAAAAGUAAGAAAGCAGUCGUGAGAGGUAUUCACCCUGCAGAGGACACGGAAGAUACUGAGUUUGAACUAGAGGGACUUUCAGAAGUUGUAAACAAAGGUCAAAGCUGCUCAGCAGAGCCCAGUGGAUUCAGGCAAUCCUCCGAGAACCCACCACGAAAUCUCUCUUGGUCAAUAAACUUCCUGAGAGAAGUCCGGCUGACAGCCCCAGAGAGGGCCUGAGGGCCAAGCGAGGCCGACUCACCCCCAGCCCCAAAGCUGGCGUGGUGCCCAAGGGCAGUGAGAACUGUAAGGUCCAGUGAAGACACCUUGUGUCAGUACCCCUGGGAGGUGACAGUCAUUGAAUAGAUAAGGCUCUGCCUACAGGACUUUUCUUUAGCCAGGGAGCACUUUAUCAGUGAGGAGAAAACAAUUUCUUAGGAGUCUUAAAUAUAUUGUACCUUUUACCCAUGUGUAGGUAUUGAACAAGUUUAGAAGGAGUGAUCACCUAUUAGGAUUAACAUUCCUCUCCUGUAAUAUAAAUAGUAUAAAACUAUGUAUAUAAAGCUUUUUAGUAAUACGUUAUAAAUAAAAUGAUAAGCACU